AACGAACGCUGGCGGCAGGCCUAACACAUGCAAGUCGAGCGAGCAUUUCGGUGCUAGCGGCGGACGGGUGAGUAACGCGUGGGAACGUGCCCUUUUCUGCGGAAUAGUCCUGGGAAACUGGGGGUAAUACCGCAUACGCCCUUUUGGGGGAAGAUUUAUCGGAGAAGGAGCGGCCCGCGUUGGAUUAGGUAGUUGGUGGGGUAAUGGCCCCCCAAGCCGACGAUCCAUAGCUGGUUUGAGAGGAUGAUCAGCCACACUGGGACUGAGACACGGCCCAGACUCCUACGGGAGGCAGCAGUGGGGAAUCUUAGACAAUGGGGGCAACCCUGAUCUAGCCAUGCCGCGUGAGUGAUGAAGGCCUUAGGGUUGUAAAGCUCUUUCAGCUGGGAAGAUAAUGACGGUACCAGCAGAAGAAGCCCCGGCUAACUCCGUG
This 433-nucleotide ribosomal RNA is filed under the name uncultured bacterium. Its description in RNAcentral is "partial 16S ribosomal RNA". It matches the Rfam family "Bacterial small subunit ribosomal RNA", at positions 29 to 507 of the family's 1533-position model. The record is from RNAcentral.